This 70-nucleotide transfer RNA is filed under the name Myonycteris torquata (little collared fruit bat). RNAcentral describes it as "tRNA-Trp". It matches the Rfam family "tRNA". From Rfam's summary of the family: Transfer RNA (tRNA) molecules are approximately 80 nucleotides in length. Their secondary structure includes four short double-helical elements and three loops (D, anti-codon, and T loops). The record is from RNAcentral. Lineage: Eukaryota; Metazoa; Chordata; Mammalia; Chiroptera; Pteropodidae.
AGGAGCUUAGGUUAAUCAUCAGACCAAGGGCCUUCAAAGCCCUAAGCAAAUGUAAUUCAUUUAGCUUCUG